This 699-nucleotide ribosomal RNA is filed under the name Lutibacter sp. RNAcentral's name for it is "bacterial SSU rRNA". It matches the Rfam family "Bacterial small subunit ribosomal RNA", at positions 28 to 718 of the family's 1533-position model. The record is from RNAcentral. Lineage: Bacteria; Pseudomonadati; Bacteroidota; Flavobacteriia; Flavobacteriales; Flavobacteriaceae.
GAUGAACGCUAGCGGCAGGCUUAACACAUGCAAGUCGAGGGGUAACAGGGAAGAGCUUGCUUUUCCGCUGACGACCGGCGCACGGGUGAGUAACGCGUAUAGAACCUACCUUUUACAGGGGAAUAGCCCAGAGAAAUUUGGAUUAAUGCCCUAUAGUAUUAUUGAAUGGCAUCAUUUAGUAAUUAAACAUUUAUGGGUAAAAGAUGGCUAUGCGUUCUAUUAGCUAGAUGGUAAGGUAACGGCUUACCAUGGCAACGAUAGAUAGGGGUCCUGAGAGGGAGAUCCCCCACACUGGUACUGAGACACGGACCAGACUCCUACGGGAGGCAGCAGUGAGGAAUAUUGGACAAUGGAGGCAACUCUGAUCCAGCCAUGCCGCGUGCAGGAAGACGGCCCUAUGGGUUGUAAACUGCUUUUAUACGGGAAGAAACCCAACUACGUGUAGUUGGCUGACGGUACCGUAAGAAUAAGCACCGGCUAACUCCGUGCCAGCAGCCGCGGUAAUACGGAGGGUGCAAGCGUUAUCCGGAAUCAUUGGGUUUAAAGGGUCCGUAGGCGGGCUAAUAAGUCAGGGGUGAAAUCCAACAGCUUAACUGUUGAACUGCCUUUGAUACUGUUAGUCUUGAAUUAUAUGGAAGUAGAUAGAAUGUGUAGUGUAGCGGUGAAAUGCUUAGAGAUUACACAGAAUACCGAUUGCGA